This 374-nucleotide ribosomal RNA is filed under the name uncultured organism. RNAcentral describes it as "bacterial SSU rRNA". It matches the Rfam family "Bacterial small subunit ribosomal RNA", at positions 526 to 896 of the family's 1533-position model. The record is from RNAcentral.
CGUAGGGACCAAGCGUUGUUCGGAAUUACUGGGCGUAAAGGGCGCGUAGGCGGCAAUUUAAGUCAUCUGUGAAAUCUCCGGGCUUAACUCGGAAUGGUCAGGUGAUACUGCUUUGCUAGAGUGCAGAAGGGGCAAUCGGAAUUCUUGGUGUAGCGGUGAAAUGCGUAGAUAUCAAGAGGAACACCUGAGGUGAAGACGGGUUGCUGGGCUGACACUGACGCUGAGGCGCGAAAGCUAGGGGAGCAAACGGGAUUAGAUACCCCCGGUAGUCCUAGCCCUAAACGAUGAAUACUUGGUGUCUGGAGUUUUAUAGUCUCCGGGUGCCGUAGCUAACGCGUUAAGCAUCCCGCCUGGGGAGUACGGUCGCAAGACUG